This 491-nucleotide ribosomal RNA is filed under the name uncultured bacterium. RNAcentral's name for it is "partial 16S ribosomal RNA". It matches the Rfam family "Bacterial small subunit ribosomal RNA", at positions 29 to 506 of the family's 1533-position model. The record is from RNAcentral.
AGUGAACGCUGGCGGUAGGCCUAACACAUGCAAGUCGAACGGCAGCACAGUAAGAGCUUGCUCUUACGGGUGGCGAGUGGCGGACGGGUGAGGAAUACAUCGGAAUCUACUUUUUCGUGGGGGAUAACGUAGGGAAACUUACGCUAAUACCGCAUACGACCUACGGGUGAAAGCAGGGGAUCUUCGGACCUUGCGCGAUUGAAUGAGCCGAUGUCGGAUUAGCUAGUUGGCGGGGUAAAGGCCCACCAAGGCGACGAUCCGUAGCUGGUCUGAGAGGAUGAUCAGCCACACUGGAAAUGAGACACGGUCCAGACUCCUACGGGAGGCAGCAGUGGGGAAUAUUGGACAAUGGGCGCAAGCCUGAUCAAGCCAUACCGCGUGGGUGAAGAAGGCCUUCGGGUUGUAAAGCCCUUUUGUUGGGAAAGAAAAGCAGCAGGUUAAUACCCCGCUGUUCUGACGGUACCAAAAGAAUAAGCACCGGCUAACUUCGU